This 496-nucleotide ribosomal RNA is filed under the name uncultured bacterium. RNAcentral describes it as "partial 16S ribosomal RNA". It matches the Rfam family "Bacterial small subunit ribosomal RNA", at positions 30 to 523 of the family's 1533-position model. The record is from RNAcentral.
AUUGAACGCUGGCGGAAUGCUUUACACAUGCAAGUCGAACGGUAGAGGGGGCAACCCCUCGAGAGUGGCGAACGGGUGAGUAAUAUAUCGGAACGUGCCCAGUCGUGGGGGAUAACGUAGCGAAAGUUACGCUAAUACCGCAUACGAUCUAAGGAUGAAAGCGGGGGAUCGCAAGACCUCGCGCGAUUGGAGCGGCCGAUAUCAGAUUAGGUAGUUGGUGGGGUAAAGGCUCACCAAGCCAACGAUCUGUAGCUGGUCUGAGAGGACGACCAGCCACACUGGAACUGAGACACGGUCCAGACUACUAAGGGAGGCAGCAGUGGGGAAUUUUGGACAAUGGACGCAAGUCUGAUCCAGCCAUUCCGCGUGCAGGAUGAAGGCCCUCGGGUUGUAAACUGCUUUUGUACGGAACGAAAAGGUCUCUCUUAAUACGGGGGGCUCAUGACGGUACCGUAAGAAUAAGCACCGGCUAACUACGUGCCAGCCGCCGCAGUAA